This is a long non-coding RNA of Centruroides sculpturatus (bark scorpion), 758 nucleotides long. RefSeq lists it as uncharacterized. Lineage: Eukaryota; Metazoa; Arthropoda; Arachnida; Scorpiones; Buthidae. The transcript is spliced from 3 exons. The record is from RefSeq and is a predicted model, not a curated record.
CCACUGGUUUAAUGAAUAAUUCUGUUAAAGAUUCUAGGAAAAUAUCUAGCAAUUUUCCAUCCGUUUUCAAACAAGAUCCGGACGAUUUCCAAGGAAAUGUUACUUUACCAUCACUGGAUGACAUGACAACAAGCUUUACUUCGUUUGAUUCUCUUUCUCAUUUUGGAGGGAUUUCCUGAAAAGCUGAAAUGUAGCGAAUUUUUUCGAAAGAGUUAGUGCAUUUUAUAGCACCAGAGUUCCGAGUGAAAAUAGUUUACAUUAAUGAAUUUGUCUCUAGGCUCCGUAAUAAUUAAAAUCAAAAUAUAUAAGAAAAUAUAAAAUGCCUUAUCGAGACAAUUUUAUAAUCGGCACGGAAGAAAACUGUGACAUUUUACUUUAUUAUUUUUAAGAAAACGGACGUAAUAUUCAUCUUCACAAAGCAUCGGAUACGGUAAAUUGUAGGCAAUUGCAACGUGCCACGGCUCCAACAAAAAAACGGAACGUAUGAAACUAUUUGAAUGGAUUAUCGGACGAAUAAUUAAAACAUAAUCCGAAUAAACUGUCGAAUUUGUAAUUGUAAUUGCGUCAGAAUACACUUAAAAUAUGAUCUUUAGUCCCCGUAAUCGGUCUACAAUGGACCCUCUAAUGUCAUUUACAAAGAAGAAAUAUAUUUCGACGCACAAAAACAAAGAUGUAAAUAUUCUAUUUUGCAUUUAUAAUGAAAUCUUUUUUCAUAUCGAGAAAAUAGAUAGCGAUAAAUAUGGAUUGUUCGUUGACAA